UGCAUACCUUCAUGUUUUUCAGUUAUACAUAUUAUGUUCUCAAGAAUGAAAUAUAUGCCAAAUCUGAUAAAACAAGUGCUUCUUUGGAUAUUACUCUUUAAGCAAUGCAUAUAGUGUUGGGAACCCGCCCAUGCCGCUGAUAUUUCAAAAAUUUUCAGAUGGCAGCGGAAUCGGCAUGCACGGGUUCGACGUUCAUCGCAUGAACGCUUGUUUCGAGACCUUUCGUAAUUAGGUAAGAAUUAAAACUUUUAGAACUAAUAGGAAGAUCAAAUCUUCACCUUGCGCGGGUAGAUGAUCACCGCGAAUCUGAAUUCGUGGUUUUGGAAGAGGGUUCGUUUGAAGCCGUUCAAACGUCCGGCC
Molecule: long non-coding RNA, 360 nt
Filed under: Phoenix dactylifera (date palm)
Lineage: Eukaryota; Viridiplantae; Streptophyta; Magnoliopsida; Arecales; Arecaceae
Description: long non-coding RNA (PDAC_LNC010228)
Source: RNAcentral